RNAcentral lists this ribosomal RNA (442 nucleotides) under uncultured bacterium. RNAcentral describes it as "partial 16S ribosomal RNA". It matches the Rfam family "Bacterial small subunit ribosomal RNA", at positions 339 to 795 of the family's 1533-position model. The record is from RNAcentral.
CUACGGGCGGCUGCAGUGGGGAAUAUUGGACAAUGGACCAAAAGUCUGACCCAGCAAUUCUGUGUGUUUGAUGAAGGCCUUCGGGUUGUAAAGAACUUUAAGCAGGGAAGAAGAAAGUGACGGUACCUGCAGAAUAAGCGACGGCUAAAUACGUGCCAGCAGCCGCGGUAAUACGUAUGUCGCAAGCGUUAUCCGGAAUUAUUGGGCAUCAAGGGCGUCUAGGCGGUUUAGUAAGUCUGAUGUGAAAAUGCGGGGCUCAACUCCGUAUUGCGUUGGAAACUGCUAGACUAGAGUUUUGGAGAGGUAGGCGGAACUACAAGUGUAGAGGUGAUAUUCGUAGAGAUUUGUAGGAAUGCCGAUGACGAAGGUAGCUUACUGGACAAAUACUGACGCUGAAGCGCGAAAGCUAGGGGAGCAAACAGGAUUAGAUACCCUCGUAGUC